Long non-coding RNA from Arabidopsis lyrata subsp. lyrata, 370 nucleotides. RefSeq lists it as uncharacterized. NCBI's taxonomy places the organism in Eukaryota, Viridiplantae, Streptophyta, Magnoliopsida, Brassicales, Brassicaceae. The transcript has 3 exons. The record is from RefSeq and is a predicted model, not a curated record.
CAAUGUUUUUGGAAGAAACACCGACUUAGUGCGCAAGUACAUGAUGUGUCGAGACAAGAAAGUGUUAUGUUGACAACACAACACACACGUGUCACUUGCCUUCCCAUCUAUAAAAGCCAACAUUUGUGCUUCUCUCCUCACUUGUUCUCUGUCUAAACCAACUACCACCUUCGCCACCACCACGGUUUUAGGUUAGGAGCCAAGAAUGGAUAUGGACCCAAAUGAUCCCGAUGAACCACGGUAUCUACGCCUUUUAGGUACCAUAAUUCAUAAAGAGCAACCCAAUAGAAUGUGUAAUUAUCAGAGUACCAAUGAGUCUCACCCAGCAGAUCCAUCUAAUGAUUGUUCAGAAAAUCAUUCGGAAAUUAAA